GACGAACGCUGGCGGCGUGCUUAACACAUGCAAGUCGAACGGUGAAGCGCCUUCCUUUUUGGUGGGUGUGGAUGAGUGGCGAACGGGUGAGUAACACGUGAGUAACCUGCCCCCUUCUUCUGGAUAACCGCAUGAAAGUGUGGCUAAUACGGGAUAUUCUGGGUCUGUCGCAUGAUGGGUCUGGGAAAGAUAUUGUUUCGGUGGGGGAUGGGCUCGCGGCCUAUCAGCUUGUUGGUGGGGUGAUGGCCUACCAAGGCGGUGACGGGUAGCCGGCCUGAGAGGGUGGACGGUCACACUGGGACUGAGACACGGGCCAGACUCCUACGGGAGGCAGGAGUGGGGAAUAUUGCACAAUGGGCGCAAGGCUGAUGCAGCGACGCCGCGUGAGGGAUGGAGGCCUUCGGGUUGUGAACCUCUUUCGCCAGUGAAGCAGGCCUGCCUCGUUUGUGGGUGGGUUGACGGUGGCUGGAUAAGAAGCGCCGGCUAACUACGUG
RNAcentral lists this ribosomal RNA (494 nucleotides) under uncultured bacterium. RNAcentral describes it as "partial 16S ribosomal RNA". It matches the Rfam family "Bacterial small subunit ribosomal RNA", at positions 28 to 507 of the family's 1533-position model. The record is from RNAcentral.